RNAcentral lists this long non-coding RNA (524 nucleotides) under Gallus gallus (chicken). Its description in RNAcentral is "long non-coding RNA NONGGAT005221". Lineage: Eukaryota; Metazoa; Chordata; Aves; Galliformes; Phasianidae. The record is from RNAcentral.
GCCAGCUUGUUUCUGAAAAGCUACAAUACCUCCCCAAUGGCUUUUGGAAGUUAACUGAGACUGUACUGAGUACCUGUAGCACAACUAGCACUUGGCUACCAAAGAACCACUUAUCUCAGCAUUUCCACCUAGGUCAUGCAGCCAAAAGGGUGACCACACCUGACUUAGGGAAUAAUGCACCUAUUGUGUAAGAGCAGAAGUAAUCCUCACCCACAGUUCUGUCUUGUUCUGUGCAUGACUUGGACUGCCAAAUUUGAGAUACCAACUCAUUUGUGUUUCUGUGAGACAGACCACUGGUUGGCACUGAGCUCUGUCCUACACAAGUCAGAAGAGUUCAGACUGCCCCUGCAGGGAGCCUGGUGCAGGCAGGGAACGCAGUGGAAAGCUGCAGCUGUUUGCUAUCAGCCUGAACCACACAGCACGAAGGAGAGAAGGAACUUUACUGUGGUGAACUGCUGACUGACAGGACUGGGGGUGAGGAUGCUCCUAGCAUGGAGGUGGCUCUGUGCAUCUCUGGUCAAGAU